Molecule: non-coding RNA, 1021 nt
Organism: Callorhinus ursinus (northern fur seal)
Lineage: Eukaryota; Metazoa; Chordata; Mammalia; Carnivora; Otariidae
Source: RefSeq, a predicted model, not a curated record
AUAAAACCUUUAAAAAAAAAAAAAAACUCACUGGACUAUGACUCCAGUUGAAGUGCUGAACAGCUUUAUAGGAAACAAUAAAUCUCUCCAGCAGUCUUUUAAGAAAAAAUGUUGACAUUGCAUGAAUUUGUUUAGCAUUUAAAAUCAUAGCUACCAUUUGCUGAGUGUUUACUAUGCUACUGUAUGCCAAGUACAGUGCUGGAUACUCUAGAUACAUUAUCUCUGCUCCUCUCAGAGAAUCACCUGCAAGGUAGGUCUUAUAUACAGGAAUAUACUUAUUCCAAUUCAGAGUAACAACAACAUAGCAAUUGAGCAUAAGUUUAUUUUAGAAAGAAAAAUGAGAAUGGCUGUUAUUUUUUCUGUCCUCUAGGCGUUCAGCCUAUUAAAAACCUGUAGUAAACAUCUUUGGAGGUAUCUUUUAAAAAGCUGAUGCUCACUUUCUUACCUACCAUCCUCCCUGCAGCCAUGGGAUCCUGAUAGCCACUUUAUACAGUGCUUCUGUUUGCUGACCAAAGGGAGAGAAAGGUAGUGGCUCUGACCACAAGAGGGAGGAUGCUAUUCACAGAACCCUCCAGCCGCAUGAAAGCUUGCAGUUGGGAGCAUCGAGAUCACCUCCUCAUCAGGCCGGGGGAGGCUGCAAAGCCGAGAGAGAGCCGCAGUGAGCCCUACAAAGAGGGCCCUUUGAUCUGAGGGUCACAGCAUAGAAGAGGCUGGAAAGCACUACCUCUGAGUCACUCUCCAGGCGUAGAUUAAAGCCAGCUUUGGGGUAAAUACGCAGAAGUGGAAUUGCUGGAUCAUAUGAGCAGACUGGCUGGAUGCAACAUUGUGCUGGUUACCUUGGUCCUGUUGGAGAGAAAACAGACCUAACAGUGUUCAAAACUACCUGCAGAGCUGAGGACCUAUUUUGGCUUUAUGAAUAUAAUCUAUUCAUCAAGUUUAAAGAAGUCUAAAGAUUAGUGGGGAGAGGAGCUGGAUGAAGAGAGAACUUCUGCAAUGAGAAAAUGAGAAGGAACAAAUCUAA